UAAUACGGAGGGGGCAAGCGUUACUCGGAAUUAUUGGGCGUAAAGGGCGCGUAGGCGGUCGUGUGCGUCGGAGGUGAAAUCCCCGGGCUUAACCCGGGAGCUGCCUCCGAUACGGCAUGGCUUGAGUCCGGGAGAGGGGAGCAGAAUUCCCAGUGUAGCGGUGAAAUGCGUAGAUAUUGGGAGGAAUACCAGUGGCGAAGGCGGCUCCCUGGACCGGUACUGACGCUGAGGCGCGAAAGCGUGGGUAGCAAACAGG
RNAcentral lists this ribosomal RNA (256 nucleotides) under uncultured archaeon. RNAcentral's name for it is "partial 16S ribosomal RNA". It matches the Rfam family "Bacterial small subunit ribosomal RNA", at positions 521 to 776 of the family's 1533-position model. The record is from RNAcentral.